This 253-nucleotide ribosomal RNA is filed under the name uncultured bacterium. RNAcentral's name for it is "partial 16S ribosomal RNA". It matches the Rfam family "Bacterial small subunit ribosomal RNA", at positions 524 to 776 of the family's 1533-position model. The record is from RNAcentral.
UACGGAGGGUGCAAGCGUUAUCCGGAUUCACUGGGUUUAAAGGGUGCGUAGGCGGGCAGGUAAGUCAGUGGUGAAAUCUCCGGGCUUAACCCGGAAACUGCCGUUGAUACUAUCUGUCUUGAAUAUCGUGGAGGUAAGCGGAAUAUGUCAUGUAGCGGUGAAAUGCUUAGAUAAGACAUAGAACACCCAUUGCGAAGGCAGCUUACUACACGAUCAUUGACGCUGAGGCACGAAAGCGUGGGGAGCAAACAGG